CUUCAGGGAGCCGAGCCAGAGCGGCUUGUCCUCGUCGCGGCCCUGGCCGUAGGUGGCGAGCAGUGCCUGCGCCUC
Molecule: non-coding RNA, 75 nt
Organism: Actinobacteria bacterium OV450
Lineage: Bacteria; Bacillati; Actinomycetota; Actinomycetes
Source: Rfam